RNAcentral lists this non-coding RNA (960 nucleotides) under Oxyconger leptognathus (shorttail pike conger). Its description in RNAcentral is "12S ribosomal RNA". It matches the Rfam family "Bacterial small subunit ribosomal RNA". Lineage: Eukaryota; Metazoa; Chordata; Actinopteri; Anguilliformes; Muraenesocidae. The record is from RNAcentral.
AAUAAGCCUGGUCCUGACUUUAAUUUCAGUUCUGGCCUGAAUUAUACAUGCAAGUACCCGCGCCCCUGUGAGAAUGCUCUUAGCCCCCCGCCCCAACGGAGGAAAGACGCCGGCAUCAGGCACACUUUAUAGUAGCCCAAAACGCCUUGCUCAGCCACACCCCCAAAGGGAAUUCAGCAGUGAUUAACAUUAAGACAUGAGCGAAAGCUCGAAUUACUUAAGGCCAAACAAGAGCCGGUAAAACUCGUGCCAGCCACCGCGGUUAUACGAGUGGCUCAAAUUGAAAUUCCACGGCGUAAAGCGUGAUUAGAGAAAGAAGAACUAAAGCCAAAAAUACCCCCUGCUGUUAUACGCUUACGGGGAAAGAGGCCCCACACGAAAGUAGCUUUAAUUAAUAUUGAAUUCACGACCAUUGAGAAACAAACUGGGAUUAGAUACCCCACUAUGCUCAAUAGUAAACAAAGAUGGAGAAUUACGAAUACCAUCCGCCAGGGGACUACGAGCACCAGCUUGAAACCCAAAGGACUUGGCGGUGUCUCAAACCCACCUAGAGGAGCCUGUUCUAUAACCGAUAACCCCCGUUAAACCUCACCACCCCUUGUCUCAACAGUAUAUAUACCGCCGUCGCCAGCUUACCUCAUGAGAGAUAAAGAAGUAAGCCAAACGGGCCCAGCCCAGAACGUCAGGUCGAGGUGUAGCAAAUGAGGUGGGAAGAAAUGGGCUACAUUUUCUGACACAGAAUACUACGAAAGGUGUAAUGAAAAAAACACAAUUGAAGGUGGAUUUAGCAGUAAAGAAGGGACAUGAGAACCCUCUUGAAGCCGGCUCUGAGGCGCGUACAUACCGCCCGUCACCCUCGUCAAAUUUUCGCCAGGAAAUUAAUAUAUAAUACCAAAAACAGAAAUAGAGGAGGCAAGUCGUAACAUGGUAAGUGUACCGGAAGGUGCACUUGGAAUAAUU